UACAGAGGGGGCAAGCGUUGUUCGGAAUUACUGGGCGUAAAGGGCGCGUAGGCGGCCGCCUAAGUCAGACGUGAAAUCCCUCGGCUCAACCGGGGAACUGCGUCUGAUACUGGGUGGCUUGAAUUCGGGAGAGGGAUGCGGAAUUCCAGGUGUAGCGGUGAAAUGCGUAGAUAUCAGGAGGAACACCUGUGGCGAAAGCGGCUCACUGGACCAUAACUGACGCUGAUGCACGAAAGCUAGGGGAGCAAACAGG
Molecule: ribosomal RNA, 253 nt
Filed under: uncultured bacterium
Lineage: Bacteria
Description: partial 16S ribosomal RNA
Rfam family: Bacterial small subunit ribosomal RNA
Source: RNAcentral